AAAAAAAAAAAAAGAAUAAAGAAAUGGCUUUGCUCUCGGCGAUGAAGUUGCAGGGACGUCCACCACCGAUCUCGUCCAAUCUCAACCCAAAUUCCAAACCUGCAGGUUCGGAUUCCGUUUCCUUAAACGCCUCCGAACCUGGCUCCGAACGGAAGCCUCGGAAAUUCAGCUCACAGCUAAACCGCUGGAACAGAGCACGAACCUUAAGGUCUGGCGCGAAGCUGGACAGUACGAUUACUAAUGGAUCAAACAAUACGACCGGUCCGAU
RNAcentral lists this long non-coding RNA (268 nucleotides) under Arabidopsis thaliana (thale cress). RNAcentral's name for it is "long non-coding RNA (ATHA_LNC000284)". Lineage: Eukaryota; Viridiplantae; Streptophyta; Magnoliopsida; Brassicales; Brassicaceae. The record is from RNAcentral.